Long non-coding RNA from Zingiber officinale, 619 nucleotides. RefSeq lists it as uncharacterized. The transcript is spliced from 4 exons. NCBI's taxonomy places the organism in Eukaryota, Viridiplantae, Streptophyta, Magnoliopsida, Zingiberales, Zingiberaceae. The record is from RefSeq and is a predicted model, not a curated record.
UUCGUCGGCUGUCGGGAGGGAACCAAGGGCAUCGGCGUUGGAUCAGGCCAGCAUCGAUUGUUUGGAGGAGGUGGUUCUUUCUGGGAAGCAGAGACUGGUAUUUUGGUCCCGGCCACCACAGCUCUGUUGGAUCGAUCUCUUCUUCGUAUCAGUGAUCGUCUCCGGUGAUUGAAGGGUGCAGAGAGGAUGCGAUGUGCUUAUUUUAGAUACUGGAUUGGGAAGUGCAGAGAAUCAAGCAAGGGUCAAGGAGUUGCUUCAUGUGGAGGAAUCAAAACUAGAGGAGGAUGAGGGAAAUACCACUCCAGCAGUGAGAUGGGUUCGAGAUGAUAAAUAUGAUUGCAUCCGAUUAAAGCAUUGCAAGGUGAGCUAUAUUCACUGUGUAUCCCCCCUUCAGAGUACAUAUGUAUCUGUAUAGUAAUUAAUUUCAAUAUAGGCACAUCAAAUUACCUUAAUUGUUUCUGGACAUAGACUUAAUCCUUUGGAUUACUUUAUUUUAAUUGGUAGAGUAUUUGCCACUAUAAUUUAUUGCAUCCACAAGGUUUGCUUUGGAUAGCCUGCUCAGGUAGAGUAUUUGCCACUAUAAUUUAUUUUAAUUGGUAGAGUACUCGGGGGCUAAGUA